RNAcentral lists this ribosomal RNA (253 nucleotides) under uncultured prokaryote. RNAcentral describes it as "partial 16S ribosomal RNA". It matches the Rfam family "Bacterial small subunit ribosomal RNA", at positions 524 to 776 of the family's 1533-position model. The record is from RNAcentral.
UACGGAGGGUGCAAGCGUUGCUCGGAAUUAUUGGGCGUAAAGGGUAGGUAGGUGGUCUCAUUUGUCUGAGGUGAAAGCCCAGGGCUUAACCCUGGAAGUGCCUCAGAAACGGGGAGACUCGAGUACUGGAGAGGGUCGUGGAAUUCCCGGUGUAGCGGUGAAAUGCGUAGAGAUCGGGAGGAACACCAGAGGCGAAGGCGGCGACCUGGACAGUUACUGACACUCAACUACGAAAGCGUGGGGAGCAAACAGG